GCGCGUCCUACCAUGCAAGUCGAACGCGAAAAGUCCCGCAAGGGAUAAGUAGAGUGGCAGACGGGUGAGUAAUGCAUAGGUAAUCUACCCUUGAGUGUGGGAUAACUCCGGGAAACCGGUGCUAAUCCCGCAUAAUGUCCUGAUGCGUAAGCAUCUGGAUCAAAGGGGGGGAUCUUUCGGGACCUCCCGCUUGAGGAUGAGCCUAUGUCCUAUUAGCUAGUUGGUGAGGUAAUGGCCCACCAAGGCUCUGAUGGGUAGCCGAGCUGAGAGGCUGAUCGGCCACACUGGAACUGAAACACGGUCCAGACUCCUACGGGAGGCAGCAGUGGGGAAUUUUGCGCAAUGGGCGAAAGCCUGACGCAGCGACGCCGCGUGAGGGAUGAAGGUCCUAGGAUUGUAAACCUCUGUCAGGAAGCAUUAAAUGCACGGGUAUCAACACCAUCCGUGCUUGACUUAACUUCCAGAGGAAGCCCCGGCUAACUACGUGCCAGCAGCCGCGGUAAUACGUAGGGGGCAAGCGUUACUCGGAUUUAUUGGGCGUAAAGAGAAUUCAGGCGGUCAUGUAAGUCAGUGGUGAAAUACCUCGGCUCAACUGGGGAAUUGCCUUUGAUACUGCGUGACUUGAGGGCAGGAGAGGAAGGCGGAAUUCCCGGUGUAGCGGUGGAAUGCGUAGAUAUCGGGAGGAACACCUGAGGCGAAGGCGGCUUUCUGGACUGGUCCUGACGCUGAUAUUCGAAAGCUAGGGGAGCAAACAGGAUUAGAUACCCUGGUAGUCCUAGCUGUAAACGAUGGAUACUAGAUCUUGCAUGAU
Molecule: ribosomal RNA, 811 nt
Filed under: uncultured bacterium
Lineage: Bacteria
Description: bacterial SSU rRNA
Rfam family: Bacterial small subunit ribosomal RNA
Source: RNAcentral